RNAcentral lists this ribosomal RNA (253 nucleotides) under uncultured bacterium. RNAcentral's name for it is "partial 16S ribosomal RNA". It matches the Rfam family "Bacterial small subunit ribosomal RNA", at positions 524 to 776 of the family's 1533-position model. The record is from RNAcentral.
UACGUAGGGUGCGAGCGUUGUCCGGAAUUAUUGGGCGUAAAGGGCGCGUAGGCGGUCUCUUAAGCGUGUGGUGAAAGCCCGGGGCUCAACUCCGGGUCGGCCGUGCGAACUGGGGGACUGGAGCUUGUCAGAGGCAGGCGGAAUUCCGGGUGUAGCGGUGGAAUGCGUAGAGAUCCGGAAGAACACCGGUGGCGAAGGCGGCCUGCUGGGACAGUGCUGACGCUGAGGCGCGACAGCGUGGGGAGCAAACAGG